UGUGUGUGUGUGUGUGUGUGUGUGUGUGUGUGUAAUGUUAUAACAACAUAACACACACACACACACACACACACACACACACA
Molecule: microRNA precursor, 83 nt
Filed under: Podarcis lilfordi (Lilford's wall lizard)
Lineage: Eukaryota; Metazoa; Chordata; Lepidosauria; Squamata; Lacertidae
Source: RNAcentral